RNAcentral lists this long non-coding RNA (964 nucleotides) under Olea europaea (common olive). RNAcentral's name for it is "long non-coding RNA (OEUR_LNC010112)". The record is from RNAcentral. Lineage: Eukaryota; Viridiplantae; Streptophyta; Magnoliopsida; Lamiales; Oleaceae.
AACAAUAAACUUAAUUUAUAAAUACUUUAAAAAUAUAUUUUUUUUUCACACACAGAUCUAUGGAUAGAAAUCUGAUUAAAUUGACGAACAUUUCCAAGCUUCCACGUUCCCACCUGAAAUAACGGUAUAAUUUCUCGAAUUAAAAUCUAACAAUUAAAUUAAUAUAAAUCCACCACUUAACUUCUCAACUUCUAUACUUACUCUUACAUUUCCAAUUCUCCAACUUUUCUUCUCUUUAAUAAUUUAUCAACUAGUCACCAUACACUAUCAAAUCCAUUACACCACUCACACUUCCUUGAAAUCACUACCUUAAUACAUCUACAACCCUUAUACAUAGUUAGUCCAAUACAUAGGCUUCAAUAUUUAUCAUAUAAAUUCAUUCAAACCUUUAAAAAUCUGAAAAUCCAAGGUUUGACAAAAACAGCACUAAAUUCCAGAAUAUAGAAAUCUGGCACCAAUUUCUGAAUAUUGAAAUUUGGCACCGAAACCCUUGACAGAAAUAGCACUUUUCUGGGCAGAAUUUCGGAACACUUCAACACCAANNNNNNNNNNNNNNNNNNNNNNNNNNNNNNNNNNNNNUAUAUAUAUAUAUAUAUUAAUUCUAGCUAAAUUUCCAAUUUUGAGUAAUUUUCCAUGAACCCUAAAAAUUCAAUUACAUAAUUUUUACUUACCUCUUGAAAAUAAGGAGAAGUAAAGAAUGGAAAUUGAAAAGCCAACACGUAUUCCUCCUCGUCCUCCUUCUUCUUCAUUUUUUUUUUCAUUUCUCUCUCGGUCUCUUAGUCUCUUUCUCUCUCUCGAUCCUUCUAUCUAUUUCCAAAAAGAGAAAUGGGAUGAAAAAUGGGUCAUUAUCCUCUAAGUCAAUAGAUAACUAUAAUAUAAUUACACUUCACCAUAAAUUUCAUAUUCUCUUUAUGUAAUCAUUUUCUAUCUCCUUGACCCCAAGUUUCUAUACCAAUAAGUAACC